CACGUAGGGAGCGAGCGUUGUCCGGAAUCACUGGGCGUAAAGAGCGCGCAGGCGGUUUGGUAAGUCGGAUGUGAAAACCCGGAGCUCAACUCCGGGCCUGCAUCCGAUACUGCCCGACUAGAGGUAGGUAGGGGAGAUCGGAAUUCCUGGUGUAGCGGUGAAAUGCGCAGAUAUCAGGAGGAACACCGGUGGCGAAGGCGGAUCUCUGGGCCUUACCUGACGCUCAGGAGCGAAAGCUAGGGGAGCGAACAGG
RNAcentral lists this ribosomal RNA (253 nucleotides) under uncultured bacterium. RNAcentral's name for it is "partial 16S ribosomal RNA". It matches the Rfam family "Bacterial small subunit ribosomal RNA", at positions 524 to 776 of the family's 1533-position model. The record is from RNAcentral.